RNAcentral lists this long non-coding RNA (1738 nucleotides) under Mus musculus (house mouse). RNAcentral describes it as "long non-coding RNA chr6:125244226-125245964". The record is from RNAcentral. Lineage: Eukaryota; Metazoa; Chordata; Mammalia; Rodentia; Muridae.
GGGAGCUCUAAACUUGGGUCCCCAUAUGCCAUUAGGAAAACCACAAUACAAAUCAAGUAGUAAACAUAUGGAAAACUAUAAAAUUAAGAGAGAUGUAGUGGAAGAACAAGCCAGGACUAGUGAGACGGCUUAGCUGGUAAAGGUGCUUGUAGAACAAGCCUAAAGACCUGAGUUCAAUUUCUAGAAUCCAUGGUGGAAGAGAAGCCACUUCUAAAAGUUGUGCUCUUGUGUGCCUGCACUCACACAGAUCACAUGCACACCUAUGCGCACGCAUGUGCGUGUGCACACAUACACACACUCACACAAAUAAUUAAACUAAACUAAAAUAUAAAAGAUCAAAAGCCCAUGGCUUGGGAGAUCAUAGACUACUACAUGCUGUUAAACUGCUAACUAUAAUUACACCCAUGAAUUACUGCUGUUCUCAGCCUGCAGUGGGCAGCAGUUAUUACAGAGACUGGUAAGAGGUCAGAGUGUAGAGAAUGAGUGACAGUUGAGAGUUCAGCUCUAAAUGAGACAGCUACAUCACCCUUCCCACAGAGGCUCAGGGAGCAUUAUGGGGGAGGGGCAGGAAGUGUAAGAGCUGGAGGACGGGGAGAGAGGAGGGUGUGAAGUACUGUCUUCUUCUAUACAUGGUGUCUUAGUUACUGGUCUAUUGCUAUUUCUAUGGCCAAGGAUAGAUGUGUAUGUGUGUGUAAAUUAAGUUUUUCAAAACCUAUUUUCAGUGAUGGUUCUUAAAUGCUUUAACUACCUUUUAGCCCACCACCCACCAGAGGUAGUAGGAAAGAAAGGAUAAGGGGGAGGUGGACCUGUCUAGAAAGGUUCUUUGGAGCAACUCCCAUCUGUGCUGUCUGGAAAUCAGCAGUUCAGUUCACAGAUCAGCAGGCAGCCAUAGCUUGACCUACUUGCAAACACUUCACGGAUACACCAGCAGUCCAAUUCAUUAGAGUCAGGAUAGCAAACACGAGUCAACAGUGGUGGCAGAGACAGCCAGGCCUCAGCCUUGGUACCAGUUAGCAGGAGGGACCAGGAGGAACACCAGGAGAAGUUCUUGGCUGUGCCUCUCUCAGGAAAUUGAAGAUGAGCAAAGACUCGAGACCCACAGGCAUUGCACAGCUAGCUGUGCCAGCAAGCCUAGCUCAGCCUGUCACUGCCCAUCGAGUUCUAGUUACACAAGUUCUAGCUUCACAGGUCUGCCUUAGUCUUUCACGUAUGUCUACUUCAGGAAAACACUCCUUCACGUGUGUGCCCCAGCAUAUCCAUGUAUGUAUGUAUGUAUGUAUGUAUGUAUGCGUGUGUGUAUGCAUAUGCAUAUGUAUAUGUAUAUAUAUAUGGAUUUAAUUGGGGGUUCGUUUACAAUUUGAAACUUUAAAGCUCACUCCUAGUGACAAACUUCCUCCAAUAAGACCAACCCCACUCAAACAAGGCCCACCUUCUAAACCUUCUAAUUCUUAAAUAUUUGAGCCUACAGGGGCUGGCUUUUUUUUUUUUUUUGGUUUUUGGUUUUUUGAGACAGGGUUUCUCUGCAUAUCCCUGGCUGUCCUGGAACUCACUCUGUAGACCAGGCUGGCCUCGAACUUAGAAGUCUGCCUGCCUCUGCCUCCCAAGUGCUGCUCGACUGUUUAUUUUAUUUGUAUGAAUGCUUCGCUUGCAUCUAUGUCUGUGCACCACGUGUGCCCUGCGUGUUUGAAUGUCAGAAGAGAGUGUCAAUCUCCUGGAACUGGAGUUGUGGAUGGAUGGG